This 407-nucleotide ribosomal RNA is filed under the name uncultured bacterium. Its description in RNAcentral is "bacterial SSU rRNA". It matches the Rfam family "Bacterial small subunit ribosomal RNA", at positions 354 to 777 of the family's 1533-position model. The record is from RNAcentral.
GUGGGGAAUAUUGCACAAUGGGGGAAACCCUGAUGCAGCAACGCCGCGUGAGUGAAGAAGUAUUUCGGUAUGUAAAGCUCUAUCAGCAGGGAAGAAAAAAGACGGUACCUGACUAAGAAGCCCCGGCUAACUACGUGCCAGCAGCCGCGGUAAUACGUAGGGGGCAAGCGUUAUCCGGAUUUACUGGGUGUAAAGGGAGCGUAGACGGUGGAGCAAGUCUGAAGUGAAAGCCCGCGGCUCAACUGCGGAACGGCUUUGGAAACUGAUUCACUGGAGUACUGGAGAGGCAGGCGGAAUUCCUAGUGUAGCGGUGAAAUGCGUAGAUAUUAGGAGGAACACCAGUGGCGAAGGCGGCCUGCUGGACAGAAACUGACGUUGAGGCUCGAAAGCGUGGGGAGCAAACAGGA